RNAcentral lists this ribosomal RNA (369 nucleotides) under uncultured bacterium. RNAcentral's name for it is "bacterial SSU rRNA". It matches the Rfam family "Bacterial small subunit ribosomal RNA", at positions 28 to 399 of the family's 1533-position model. The record is from RNAcentral.
GACGAACGCUGGCGGCGUGCUUAACACAUGCAAGUCGAACGAUGAAGCCCUUUCGGGGGUGGAUUAGUGGCGAACGGGUGAGUAACACGUGGGUAACCUGCCCUGUACCCUGGGAUAAGCCUUGGAAACGAGGUCUAAUACCGGAUAUGACCUGCUCUCGCAUGGGGGUGGGUGGAAAGUUUUGGCGGUGCAGGAUGGACCCGCGGCCUAUCAGCUUGUUGGUGGGGGUGAUGGCCUACCAAGGCGACGACGGUAGCCGGCCUGAGAGGGCGACCGGCCACACUGGGACUGAGACACGGCCCAGACUCCUACGGGAGGCAGCAGUGGGGAAUAUUGCACAAUGGGCGAAAGCCUGAUGCAGCGACGCCG